Molecule: long non-coding RNA, 2039 nt
Filed under: Heterocephalus glaber (naked mole-rat)
Lineage: Eukaryota; Metazoa; Chordata; Mammalia; Rodentia; Bathyergidae
Description: lncRNA (ENSHGLG00000027922.2)
Source: RNAcentral
CCUGAGUACUAAGGUAACUCUUCCUUUGUCUUCCCACAGGACAGGGCCAUGCUUCUGUUCAUCUACUGGGACACUAAGGAAUCUGCAAGGAAUCUAUUCAUCAGCUUGGAUACUAAGGAGAGAUCCGUAUAUCUUUUCACCUGUUGGGAUACUAAGAUAAGUCUGUUUGCCUUCCUACACAAUGGGGACAUGCAUCUAUUCAUCUGCUCAGACACUAAGGUAGGGAUGCUGAUGUCUUCCUACAGGAUAGGGCCAUGUAUCUCUUCAUCUUACUGGAUACCAAGAAUGGGGCCAUGCAUCUGUUCAUCUUCUCAUAUACUAAGUAAGGCUGCUUGUGUCUUCAUAUGGGACAGGGCCAUGCAUCUUUUUAUGUGCUGGAAUACUAAGGUAAGUCUACUGAUGUUUUCUUACAUGACAGAAUCAUGCAUCUGUUCAUCUGCCUGAAUACUAGGGUAAGGCUCCUGUUGUCUUCCUGUAGGAUAAAGCCAUGCAUGUCUUCAUGGGCCUAGGUACUACCUUAAUUGUUCUUCUGUCUUCCCACAGGACAGGGCCAUGCAUCUGUUCAUCUUCUUAUAUACUAAGGACAGAUCCACACACUUCAUCUGCUUGGACACCAUGAAAGUCUCCUUCUGUCUACCUACAGGACACAGCCAUGAAUCUAUUCAUCAGCUCAGAUACCAAGGUAGGCAAAGCACCACUGAGCUACCUUCCCACCUGCUGAUGUCUUCCUGCAAGACAGGGUCAUGCAUUUGGUCAUCUUCUCAGAUACUAAGGUAAGGCUGCUCCUGUCAUCAUACAAGACAGGGCCGUGCAUCUGUUCAUGUGCUGGGAUACUAAGGUAAGUCUACUGAUGUUUUCCUACAUGACAGAAUCAUGCAUCUGUUCAUCUGCCUGAAUACUAGGGUAAGGCUCCUGAUGUCUUCCUGUAGGAUAAAGCCAUGCAUGUCUUCAUGGGCCUAGGUACUACCUUAAUUGUUCUUCUGUCUUCCCACAGGACAGGGCCAUGGAUCUGUUCUUCUCCUUAUAUACUCAGGUAAGUCUGCUUCUGUCUUCCUAGAGGACAGAGCCAUGCAUUUGUUCAUCUACACAGACACUAAGGCAAGUCUUUGGAUGUCCUCCUGCAGGACAGAUCCAUGCAUCUGUUAAUGUGCACAGAUACUAAAGUAAGUCUGUUAAAAUCCUUGUGUUGGACCCAGCUUCUUUUGAACUUUCUUGGUGGCCAUGGAGUGAGUGUUUUGUCCCCUGAAGAGUUCAAACUUACUUGGCAUCCUAACGGUAGGGCUCGGGGAAGUGGUUAUGUCCUGCCGAGCGAGUACUUGCAAUGGCAUUAGUGGGAAUUCAUAACUUUGGCCUUUUUGCUUUCUGCCAUUUAGAGAUACAGGUCCUCUUUUCUGUGGAUGGAUCAUCAAGUUGCCCUCAUGCAGUGGAAACACAGCCUUCAAAAGACAAAUGAUUCUCCCAUCCCUUUGAGUUCCUAUGUCUCAGCCUCCGGAACCUAGCCUAGAAUUGUACAAGACACCACCAGAAACCUCAGAAAUCAACGAGCAAAACACUGAAACAGAUUGCUUCUCCUCGCUGACUACAAGGUGGCUGCUACCCAUCCUGGGACCCUUCAUUGUCAUCAUCUGUAUGCAGCGCCUUGAUCAAUUUUUUUCCAAGGCUGGAUUCAUCCAGCCACUAACUUCCUCACCUCCCAAAAGCUGAUGAACAGAUAUCCCUACCGGUGUGAGACCCCAACCCCACCUACCAACUCAGCUCCUCCCCCUGACAAUGGCCCCAGUCAGCAUGAAGCUGCUACUUGAGACAGCUCAUGACCUCAUCCCUUAUAACAAGGAGCCGUGAAUGUAAGGCCUAAACCCACCAGGCCUAAGCACAGCAUCCUUCAUCCUUCAGCAGCCUUCUUGGCCCUAGCAGCAGCUCGGAAGGAGGCCUCAGCACUUAGUCCCUCUUCCCAUGUCCUCAGUGAAAGCCUGCUCUCUUUCAUUCCGUGUCGUGGCACUGGUGUAUAGUCACUGGAGACAGUAAACUUCCACUUUAAA